CAGUCAUUUCGUCUAAUUCAUGUGUAUUUUGGGUGUGGGACAAUGGUUCUUCACAGGCCCACUGUCAGGCGAAACUGGGUUUGCCCAAAAAAUAAAAUAAAUAAUCAAAAAAAUAAUAAUAAUAUGGCAAUACUCGCAGAGAUGUAAGGUGUAAAGUGAUGUUUAUUUACAGUGCUCGAGAGGAGAAACAGUCCCAGUACACAAACGACCCAAAAGCUAUAUACAAAAGUAACAAAGAAAACUGAAACAAUAAACCCUAUACAAAAGGAAAAGAAAACAAAAAUAUAUAUAAAUAUAUCCACGCAAACUCCUCUAAUGAUCGCUUGCUCACUCCUUAACUGACACCCAAAAGUUCUUUGGGGCUCCUAUUUAUAGUCCAAGCCCCGCCUCUUUUGUUAAAACCAUUGCAUAAAUUAGUGGGUAAGUAUUUCAGGUGAGUAUGUACAAUUUCCACAACAUCACAAAAAUAUAUACACAAAAAAAUAGCAAAAUAUUUACGGAAACAAACUCCAAACCAAAAUAAACAAAUACAAAUUUAGACACACAAUAAUUAGCAUAAUAAUAAUAACAACACAUUUCCAUUAUCCCCCUAACGAGCCAAGACAAUGGACGAGCCGACUUCCGGUUGCUUCGCGCCGACGCGGCCACACACAGCGGUCAUGGCACUAUUUAUCCAGGCCGCAGGGUGGCGCUCGGGUUCGGUCGAUCGAUGGAGGAGAAGCAUCGCGAAAGACCGGCAACACAGACGCUGACAAACACCGAACACAGCAGGUUUUCUGAAGGGGAUGGAAAUGGAGUGGCUAUGUUUGCGUGUAUGAUGACCAGCGUGCUAAUGACCCACAACGCCCCAGCAGGGAACGGAGGAUGAGAGUUGAAGCCUACAGCCGUUCUAUCAAUGCAGCAACUG
Long non-coding RNA from Carassius auratus (goldfish), 907 nucleotides. RefSeq lists it as uncharacterized. NCBI's taxonomy places the organism in Eukaryota, Metazoa, Chordata, Actinopteri, Cypriniformes, Cyprinidae. The record is from RefSeq and is a predicted model, not a curated record. The transcript is spliced from 3 exons.